RNAcentral lists this long non-coding RNA (1480 nucleotides) under Lactuca sativa (garden lettuce). Its description in RNAcentral is "long non-coding RNA (LSAT_LNC008612)". Lineage: Eukaryota; Viridiplantae; Streptophyta; Magnoliopsida; Asterales; Asteraceae. The record is from RNAcentral.
UUGGCUCUCUCUCUACCAACCCCACCGGAGCCCUCACCCUUCUCUCUCUCUUCCUCCUCUCUCUCUCUCUCUCUCUCUGUUGAUUAUUCUCCCCAAGUACUCUUGUUCUCUUUGAAAUGAAGAGAUUGAGCAAUCUCAAAACCUCUAGCAGCUUGCUUUCAUGAGUAAUAAUAUCAAGUAGAGAUCGAAACAGAUUUGCAGCCACCAUUUUCAUGAUUUCCUGCACUGAAAAGGUGAGAUGGGAUGUUUUAAAUCGAGCAACAAUGGAUAAAUCAUGCAGCAGUGUUGAAAUCAAGCAACAAUCAGGCACAUUCCCUUUUCAUUCUAGACUGAGGCCUAGUAAAAAAAUGAGGAGAAGUCUCCCCUGUUCAUCAUCUUCUUUACAUAGACCUAUAAAUCUCUCAUUUUUUUGGGGUUUCUUUAUUUCAAUUGUCAAUCAACACUUCCAACAAAAAGAAUCAAACCUUUGUUCUUGGUAUUGGCUGUUAACUGUUAACUGAUUGGGGAAGUAAUACAUAUGUUCUUCAUCUUUUUACCCAUCCUUGGUGGGGUUGAUUGGGGGUGGAACACGUAUAGUUAACUUGUGGUCCUCGAGAGUCCAUACAAACACACACACACAUCAAAGAAAUUAGGGCUCUUAAGAAGAAAGGACAAUCGAAGCAUAUUUCCACAAGUAAUCGAAGUUUUGACAUCUGGGUUCAAUACACACAUUGAAAAAUUGAAAAACACACACACACACACAAAAAAGUCAAAAAUGGUGUAAACCCGGUUGAAGAAAAAUGAACUUGUGUGUGAUUUCUUUCUGAUUUGCAGGGUCGUGUUUAUGAUUGCAGUGGUCGAGGGUGGGAAUUAUGAUGUGAAGGGGGUUUGCUUAUCGGUGAACUGUAACAAACAUGAGGUUGCAGGUGGUGUGUCUAUGGAGAGAAGAUGAUAGACCUGUGGGAAGAAGAUGAUGGAGUAGUUGGGUUUUUUGGACUUAGGAUGAGAGAGAGGGGUACCGGUAGGGGUGGAGUGCUAUCUUUUUUGUUUUUUAUUUUUAUUUUAUAAAGUAUUAAAAUAUUUUUAUUUUUAUUUUAUAAAGUAUUAAAAUAAACAAGAAAAGAAAAUACAAAACUGAAAUUAAAGGGUAAAUAGGUACUUUCAAAGUUUUUUGGACCAAAAACCCAAAAAACUCUUGAUUUUGGACAUUCUGUGCAAGCCGUAAAUUUUUUAGACCUUAUCCAAAGACUUUUGCAAACCACAAGGACCAAAUUUACAGUUUUGUCUAAUUUUAACUUAUUAUUUCAAAACAUGACAAGUAUUUUAAAUAUUCAGUUUCCGUUAAAAACCUAUAAAAACUUCUAAAUAUUAAUCACAAUAAAAAAAAGAUAAACUUUAAACGGGUAAAGAGUAAAAGUCGUAAAAUGUUAAUUUUUUUUUAUUAAAUUUUUUCAAAAAGUGAAAACAACAUAGAUAAAAGUUUCCGGUCAAGAAAGCAAAU